GCCCAUUUAGCUCAGCGGCAGAGCGCGCCGCUCGUAAAGCUUACGUAAUCAACGUAAUCAGGACACGGUGAGGUCGGUUGUUCAAUCCAGCCAAUGGGCA
This is a non-coding RNA of Obba rivulosa, 100 nucleotides long. The record is from the annotation of a GenBank genome assembly. NCBI's taxonomy places the organism in Eukaryota, Fungi, Basidiomycota, Agaricomycetes, Polyporales, Gelatoporiaceae.